This 21-nucleotide unclassified non-coding RNA is filed under the name Mus musculus (house mouse). RNAcentral describes it as "oocyte_clustered_small_RNA6303". Lineage: Eukaryota; Metazoa; Chordata; Mammalia; Rodentia; Muridae. The record is from RNAcentral.
UGCAAACCUUCAGACAGACUC